Molecule: long non-coding RNA, 1742 nt
Filed under: Sus scrofa (pig)
Lineage: Eukaryota; Metazoa; Chordata; Mammalia; Artiodactyla; Suidae
Description: lncRNA (ENSSSCG00005030227.1)
Source: RNAcentral
AUGUUCAGUAAGAUGCCUCCCAGCAGAUUCAGAAAACAUAAAUGGGUUUCUAAAGCAGUGGAAACCUCCUUAAAGAUAUGGUUAACAGCAGCAGCAGAAGCAGCAACCACACCAUUUUUAUAGGUCUUACCUGUGCACCUGUGGCUCAGUGCUCAAGACUGCCUAAAUAUGACUUACUGAGUCCUAUUGCAUCUCUAUGAUACAUGCGGUCUCACUCAGUUUCACUCAUAUUGAAACAGAGGUACAGAGUUUAAAUCCAUGGCUGGGUAUCACAUAGGGAUACGUGGCAGCAACGGGCUUCAUGUGCUGGGCUCACUCCAGACCCGUAAGUUUUUCUCUUUCUCUGAUUUUGAUUAAUAGGCUCCAAAGCAGUGUCAGAGCAAUUUAUGGAGCUGUCAUCAGGAAAUAGAGGGUAGGUUUGUGAAAGCAUUUUGAGGAACUGCAAUAUUGCACAAGUAUAAAGAGGCACUAUUAUUAUCAUUGUUGGGUCAUUUAAUUUUUCAACUCUACCAGUGGAUUCUUAGUGCACAUCUCAUAGGCUAUCACUAGGGGGAGGCAGCAGAUAAUGCAUAUAAGCAAACUUAGCCUUAGAAGGGAAGUAUAUUUUUCUUCUAAAUGUUGCUCAGGGAUUUAAAAUUGAAAAGCAAAGGCUUGUAUUAGGGCCUGGCUGCUAUUCUCAUUCAGGUUUGAUCUUGCGCUUUUGUUGAAGUGUUUUCACAGGGGCAUCUUGGUCUCUCAUGAAUACUUUUGAAGACUGUGUUCCUCCACAAAAGAAUGGAAGAUACUAAAGGCUAAGCACUGACUUGCCCAUUGUUCUCUGGCUUCUUCCCUUGUUUCCUCUGUGAUCAUUUCUGUUUUCCUUGAGGUUCAGUUUACAUUUCCUUCUCUCUACUUCAUUUCUCUGCAGACCAUGUUUGUUGGUCAUGUGAGGCAGAGAUAGUAAGGCAUAUGCCUGACCCUUCCCAUCCAUUUAGCUGUGCUCUUCUGGGCUGGGCUAUGACAUAUGCACCAUACAUUGUAGAUGUUUUUUCCUUCUUGAGCAGUAGGACUGUGUCCCACUCUAGGGAGUCCCUGAACCAUUCUAGAUUUUCCAAAGGUUGGAGUUGGAGUUGACAUUCACCUAAAAGUUAGGUAUCAGCCUUAGUCAUAAAACAACUAAAUAGCAAAAUCCCAGGAUGUAUCAAGUGGAUAGUUUUUAGCAACAGUUGAUGCCUGCCACCCAGAGGGGUGUUGAUAAAGUGAGACAGGAAGUACCUAUAUACAAUGGCCUCCUAAGUAGACUCAGCAGGAUGAUGUUCUCUGCACACUCAAAAGCUAGGGAUACUUAAAACCCCCCUCUCGCCUCCUCCCACCACUGCAGGAACACAGAAGGCCUUUUGUAUACAGCACGCAGAUUUUGUUGGCUCUCAUUAAAUGAGUUCUACUUUCUGUAAUAGCAUAAAUGUGUGCCUUAGUGAAUGGAAUAGAAAUAGCAAAAGAGUAAAAAUGUAGCUACAGAAGAAUGUAUUUUAAAAUCUAAACUACACAGCACUGUGGACAGAGGCUGAGAAUUCUCUCUAGUUUGCCAGCCCUGAUUCUCUUGUUUCUUAGGGCAUUCAGGGGCACAGCCUGAAGAGAAGCCAUGAGAUGUCCUUUCUUCCUAAGUCUGUGGCACCUAUGACGUCCAUGCAUAUUGGGUGGGCUGUUUUUGCAAAUUGCCAGUUAGCUGGACUAGGAGUGGCUUAAAGUAGAGGAAAACUUAA